This 330-nucleotide long non-coding RNA is filed under the name Gallus gallus (chicken). Lineage: Eukaryota; Metazoa; Chordata; Aves; Galliformes; Phasianidae. The record is from RNAcentral.
GGGGGAGUCAAUAGGGGCGGGGCCGUCGACGCGGGCGGAGGGCGGGGCCUGCCGUUAGCCCCGCCCCUCGCCCCGCCUGGCCCCGCCCCCUCGGAGGGCUAACACCAGGUGCAGCACGGAGCCACCCUGGAUCUUGUAGUCGGCCGCCGUCUUCUCGUCGUUCAUCUGCUUCCCGCUGUAGAUGAGCCGCUGCUGCUGGGGGGGGAUCCCCUCCUUCUCCUCCACGCGCUCCUUGAUGCGCUCCACCUUGUCGGUGGGUUCGAUGUCGAUCUCGAUCUCUUUCCCGGUCAGCGUCGGGAGGGGAGCGCCGGCGGGGUGCGCUCCGGAGCU